Molecule: ribosomal RNA, 491 nt
Filed under: uncultured bacterium
Lineage: Bacteria
Description: bacterial SSU rRNA
Rfam family: Bacterial small subunit ribosomal RNA
Source: RNAcentral
AUUGAACGCUGGCGGCAUGCCUUACACAUGCAAGUCGAACGGUAACGGGCCUUCGGGUGCCGACGAGUGGCGAACGGGUGAGUAAUGUAUCGGAACGUACCUUUCAGUGGGGGAUAACGUAGCGAAAGUUACGCUAAUACCGCAUAUUCUGUGAGCAGGAAAGCAGGGGAUCGCAAGACCUUGCGCUGAUUGAGCGGCCGAUAUCAGAUUAGCUAGUUGGUGAGGUAAAGGCUCACCAAGGCGAUGAUAGAUAGGCGGCCUUAACGGGUGGUCGCCCACACUGGGAUUGAGAUACGGGCCCAGACUCCUACGGGAGGCAGCAGUCGAGAAUAGUCUACAAUGGCCGGAAGGCUGAUAGUGCGACGCCGCGUGAACGAGGGAGCCCUUCGGGGUGUAAAGUUCUUUUCUAUACGAGCAGUGCUAUAUAUAUGGAUAGUAUAUAUAGAGGGAUAGUAGUAUAGGAAUAAGCAACGGCUAACUCCGUGCCAGCA